RNAcentral lists this transfer RNA (74 nucleotides) under Salipiger mucosus DSM 16094. It matches the Rfam family "tRNA". From Rfam's summary of the family: Transfer RNA (tRNA) molecules are approximately 80 nucleotides in length. Lineage: Bacteria; Pseudomonadati; Pseudomonadota; Alphaproteobacteria; Rhodobacterales; Roseobacteraceae. The record is from Rfam by way of RNAcentral.
CGUGGUGUAGCUCAGUCCGGUAGAGCACCGAGCCGAUAACUCGGUUGCCGUAGGUUCGAAUCCUACCACCACGA